CAGUCGCCACGGUAAUACGAAGGGGGCUAGCGUUGUUCGGAUUUACUGGGCGUAAAGCGCACGUAGGCGGACUUUUAAGUCAGGGGUGAAAUCCCGGGGCUCAACCCCGGAACUGCCUUUGAUACUGGAAGUCUUGAGUAUGGUAGAGGUGAGUGGAAUUCCGAGUGUAGAGGUGAAAUUCGUAGAUAUUCGGAGGAACACCAGUGGCGAAGGCGGCUCACUGGACCAUUACUGACGCUGAGGUGCGAAAGCGUGGGGAGCAAACAGGAUUAGAUACCCCGGUAGUCCCUGUCUCUUAUAC
RNAcentral lists this ribosomal RNA (301 nucleotides) under uncultured bacterium. RNAcentral describes it as "partial 16S ribosomal RNA". It matches the Rfam family "Bacterial small subunit ribosomal RNA", at positions 509 to 807 of the family's 1533-position model. The record is from RNAcentral.